AAAAAAAAAAAAAAAAAUUCUUCUACAACAGUUGGGCAUUUUCCAGCCCAUAGCUGAGAAUCAUUCUUGGCAAGUGUCUAUAACUAUAACUAACAAAAAUUCAGGAGAAAGAUCAUAAUAGUGAGAAAAGAUCUUCAGUCUAGAGUGCAAGGUGGAAAAGAUACCAACAAAGGUUGCAUGGCAUCGAAGUUUUGGCAAAACUGGGUUGAAAUAUUGUUGCGUACACAGAGUAUCAAACCAAACAAAUUAGGUCUAUCUACUGUAGUAAUACUUGGCUAAUGAAAGAUUGUCAUGCACAUCAGUUAUUAGUUAAUUACUCGUACUUAGUGGGAAAAUUAUUACAUAAGUACUAUAAAAUAAUAGUGGUUCCUAUGACAAUUUUUAAGUUUAUAAAGGAGUGGAACCAUUUACUUAUAUAUGGAAACAGAUCAAAUAAGCUUUGUAUUUUUUAAUUAAAAUUACAUAAGUCCUCACCUACAAAAGACUUAUUUUACUUUUUUUUUCCUCCAUUUAUAGAUGUGCCAAGAAAACAAUUCCAUUACUGUAAUACAGCUAGUCAAUUUUAGCAGGAGGCUGCUCAUUUUCCGCAUCUCAAGUCAAAAAGGCAGGCCCAGGGCCUCCACCUAUCCCUUUGCGUAUAACUUUCCGCCCUUAGUUGAUGAGUUUCUAGGUUUCACACUGAGCUGACCUCCGUUGCGCCUUCUCUAAUUUUGUAAUUCUAACCUCCAAUAAUGGACCCUUAUCAACUAACUCAAUUUUAUAAAAAAAAAAUUAUUAGGUGUAUUCGAUAUAUAAAUAUUAUCUCUCACAAUUAUAUUAUGAGUGUGACCUACUCUUCUACAAGAGAGAAAAAAUUAUUUUUUAAUCCUUCUAAUACAUUUAAUAAUUAGCCCUCAAAAAUUCUCUCCAAGAUGUUGACCAGAAAAAUAGGACAAAGUGUGACAGACUAUGAAGCAAACCCAACAACUUUGAUCUAACUCUCUUGAUUUACACCCUUUCUUUUUAUCUACCACUCGUCAUGUAGAGCAACAAUAUCG
RNAcentral lists this unclassified non-coding RNA (1037 nucleotides) under Hevea brasiliensis (rubber tree). The record is from RNAcentral. Lineage: Eukaryota; Viridiplantae; Streptophyta; Magnoliopsida; Malpighiales; Euphorbiaceae.